This 427-nucleotide ribosomal RNA is filed under the name uncultured bacterium. RNAcentral's name for it is "partial 16S ribosomal RNA". It matches the Rfam family "Bacterial small subunit ribosomal RNA", at positions 355 to 774 of the family's 1533-position model. The record is from RNAcentral.
UGGGGAAUAUUGCACAAUGGGCGCAAGCCUGAUGCAGCCAUGCCGCGUGUAUGAAGAAGGCCUUCGGGUUGUAAAGUACUUUCAGCGGGGCGGAAGGCGAUAAGGUUAAUAACCUUGUCGAUUGACGUUACCCGCAGAAGAAGCACCGGCUAACUCCGUGCCAGCAGCCGCGGUAAUACGGAGGGUGCAAGCGUUAAUCGGAAUUACUGGGCGUAAAGCGCACGCAGGCGGUCUGUCAAGUCGGAUGUGAAAUCCCCGGGCUCAACCUGGGAACUGCAUUCGAAACUGGCAGGCUAGAGUCUUGUAGAGGGGGGUAGAAUUCCAGGUGUAGCGGUGAAAUGCGUAGAGAUCUGGAGGAAUACCGGUGGCGAAGGCGGCCCCCUGGACAAAGACUGACGCUCAGGUGCGAAAGCGUGGGGAGCAAACA